AAACCAAGGAAAUGCAACACCAAAUCCUCAGGUCCCUGAUUAUCCUCCAAACUAUAUUUUAUUCCUUAAUAAUUUACCGGAAGAGACUAAUGAGAUGAUGCUAUCCAUGCUGUUUAAUCAGUUCCCUGGUUUCAAGGAAGUACGUUUGGUACCUGGGAGGCAUGACAUUGCUUUUGUUGAAUUUGAAAACGAUGGACAGGCUGGAGCUGCCAGGGAUGCUUUACAGGGCUUUAAGAUCACACCAUCCCAUGCCAUGAAGAUCACUUAUGCCAAAAAAUAACAUUUGGGAUAGUUGUCUUUAAAGGACUUGGUAUUUAUGGUGUUUGUUUUGAUAAUGUUUGGUCAGGCCAUUUUAUUGGGGGGAGUGGGGAUGUGUAUGUGAAAUUUUUGUAAAGGAUUUAAAAAAUUACCUAGUCUUUGGUUAGCCUCAGUGAACUGUGAACUGCAAAGGCCUUAAUUUUGCCCAAUAAACAUUUAUUUGUAUUUUGUA
Non-coding RNA from Sus scrofa (pig), 490 nucleotides. Lineage: Eukaryota; Metazoa; Chordata; Mammalia; Artiodactyla; Suidae. The record is from RefSeq and is a predicted model, not a curated record.